GUUGUACUGGACACCAAGGUAGCAGGGACCAAGGUGGCAGGAUUUUAUUGUGAUUAUUCUAGUGACUAACUUGAUUAAGUCACCACCCAUCCUGAUUUCAUAAAGCAAGUAAUGCGGAAAACUUCUGAAUUCCUUUUGAGAUCUGGAACUUUACACUGACCACAUUGAUUAGCUGAAUACAGAACCCUGGCAACUGAUGCUAUGCGAAUUAAGCUAGGUCCAUUCAAAGGAAAAGAAAACAGAAUUUGGGAAACAUGAGUGAUGACUCGGUCCCUCUGGAUGUGUUGCCUUCUCUACACAGUAAACGUCCAGACUUCUUCAUUGUGACUUAGAAGAUGAUGAUUUCAUGUAGAGCCUGCAAAAAAAAUCUUUUAAC
This 376-nucleotide long non-coding RNA is filed under the name Cricetulus griseus (Chinese hamster). Its description in RNAcentral is "lncRNA (ENSCGRG00015042224.1)". Lineage: Eukaryota; Metazoa; Chordata; Mammalia; Rodentia; Cricetidae. The record is from RNAcentral.